GACGAACGCUGGCGGCGCGCCUAACACAUGCAAGUCGAACGAGAAAGAGGGAGCUUGCUCCCUUGAUCGAGUGGCGAACGGGUGAGUAACGCGUGAGGAACCUGCCUCAAAGAGGGGGACAACAGUUGGAAACGACUGCUAAUACCGCAUAAGCCCACGGCUCGGCAUCGAGCAGAGGGAAAAGGAGCGAUCCGCUUUGAGAUGGCCUCGCGUCCGAUUAGCUAGUUGGUGAGGUAACGGCCCACCAAGGCGACGAUCGGUAGCCGGACUGAGAGGUUGAACGGCCACAUUGGGACUGAGACACGGCCCAGACUCCUACGGGAGGCAGCAGUGGGGAAUAUUGCACAAUGGGGGAAACCCUGAUGCAGCGACGCCGCGUGGAGGAAGAAGGUCUUCGGAUUGUAAACUCCUGUUGUUGAGGAAGAUAAUGACGGUACUCAACAAGGAAGUGAACGGCUAACUACGUG
Molecule: ribosomal RNA, 467 nt
Filed under: uncultured bacterium
Lineage: Bacteria
Description: bacterial SSU rRNA
Rfam family: Bacterial small subunit ribosomal RNA
Source: RNAcentral